RNAcentral lists this ribosomal RNA (871 nucleotides) under Elaiopezia waltersii. RNAcentral's name for it is "partial large subunit ribosomal RNA". It matches the Rfam family "Eukaryotic large subunit ribosomal RNA", at positions 76 to 961 of the family's 3401-position model. The record is from RNAcentral. Lineage: Eukaryota; Fungi; Ascomycota; Pezizomycetes; Pezizales; Pezizaceae.
UGCCUCAGUAACGGCGAGUGAAGCGGCAAAAGCUCAGAUUUGAAAUCUGGUAUCAUUUUGGUGCCCGAGUUGUAAUCUGUAGAGGAGUAUUCGAGUGUAGCUUUGGCUUAAGUUCCUUGGAACAGGGCGUCAUAGAGGGUGAGAACCCCGUUAACGGCCUCAGUCUUAUGCUCAUGUGAAUCUUCUUCAACGAGUCGAAUUGUUUGGGAAUGCAGUUCUAAAUGGGUGGUAAAUUCCAUCUAAAGCUAAAUACUGGCAAGAGACCGAUAGCGCACAAGUAGAGUGAUCGAAAGAUGAAAAGAACUCUGAACAGAGAGUUAAACAGUACGUGAAAUUGUUGAAAGGGAAGCACUUGCUACCAGACGCACUUGCAGUCGAUCAACCUCCAUUUUUUGGUGGUGCACUCGGUUGUAGGUGGGCCAGCAUCAGUUACUAGCGGUGGGAUAAAGACCUUGGGAAUGUGGCUUCCUUCGGGGAGUGUUAUAGCCCUUGGUGUAAUACCAUCUGUUGUGACUGAGGACCGCGCUUUUGUGAGGAUGCUGGCAUAAUGGUCGUAAGUGACCCGUCUUGAAACACGGACCAAGGAGUCUAACAUCUAUGCGAGUGUUUGGGUGUUAAAACCCUUACGCGAAAUGAAAGUGAAUGGAGGUGGGAACCGCAAGGUGCACCAUCGACCGAUCCGGAUGUCUUCGGAAGGAUUUGAGUAGGAGCAUAGCUGUUGGGACCCGAAAGAUGGUGAACUAUGCCUGAAUAGGGUGAAGCCAGAGGAAACUCUGGUGGAGGCUCGCAGCGGUUCUGACGUGCAAAUCGAUCGUCAAAUUUGGGUAUAGGGGCGAAAGACUAAUCGAACCAUCUAGUAGCUGGUUCCGGC